AGUUAUAGAGCUAUAAAAAGCGUAUGUUUUGAAAGCAUAAAAUAAGAGGUUAAAAUCCCCUAAUAACUU
Molecule: transfer RNA, 69 nt
Filed under: Cryptotermes parvifrons
Lineage: Eukaryota; Metazoa; Arthropoda; Insecta; Blattodea; Kalotermitidae
Description: tRNA-Ser
Rfam family: tRNA
About the family: Transfer RNA (tRNA) molecules are approximately 80 nucleotides in length.
Source: RNAcentral